ACGCUCGACACCUACGGGAGGUAGCAGUGGGGAAUAUUGCACAAUGGGGGAAACCCUGAUGCAGCGACGCCGCGUGAAGGAAGAAGUAUCUCGGUAUGUAAACUUCUAUCAGCAGGGAAGAAAAUGACGGUAUCUGACUAAGAAGCCCCGGCUAACUACGUGCCAGCAGCCACGGUAAUCUGAGCGGGCUGGCAAGGC
Molecule: ribosomal RNA, 198 nt
Filed under: uncultured bacterium
Lineage: Bacteria
Description: partial 16S ribosomal RNA
Rfam family: Bacterial small subunit ribosomal RNA
Source: RNAcentral